ACUUUCUUAGCUUAAUGGUAAAGCAUAAUACUUCUAAUAUUAUUAUUAUAUGUUCGAAUCAUAUAGAAAGUA
This 72-nucleotide transfer RNA is filed under the name Eremothecium sinecaudum. RNAcentral describes it as "tRNA-Arg". It matches the Rfam family "tRNA". From Rfam's summary of the family: Transfer RNA (tRNA) molecules are approximately 80 nucleotides in length. Their secondary structure includes four short double-helical elements and three loops (D, anti-codon, and T loops). Lineage: Eukaryota; Fungi; Ascomycota; Saccharomycetes; Saccharomycetales; Saccharomycetaceae. The record is from RNAcentral.